Molecule: long non-coding RNA, 972 nt
Organism: Lates calcarifer (barramundi perch)
Lineage: Eukaryota; Metazoa; Chordata; Actinopteri; Centropomidae
Exons: 3
Source: RefSeq, a predicted model, not a curated record
AAUUUAGACUGCAGGAGAGUAAAAGUGAGUAGAGGAAAUAAAUGAUUUGCAGGUCCUGCACCACCUGUGAUAAACACACACAGGUGAUUCUAUUUAAUUAGUCUGAUUAGACCUCUUAUCAGGACUGUUUAAACAUGCACCUCCCUCAUGCUUAUGUUGGGUUUGUUAGGGCAGGAAAAACCAAACAUACUUUAUCACAGAACCACAAUAACAAACAGUAAGAGCAGAUAUAUACCAGGAGUGCAAACUUUAAAAAAUAAAUAAAUAAAUGAAAAACAAAAAAGGUUCAGUGCUUCGACAACUAUAUAGUUCAUAUACUCUGAUCAGCCACAACAUUAAAACCACUGACAGGUGAAGUGAAUACCAUUGAUCAUUUUGUUACAAUACUGUGUUCUGCUGGGAAAACUUGGGUCCAGACUUUAAUCUGGAUGUUGCUUUGACACUUUGACCCCCCCAAGGUCCCCUGUUCAUGCCCUGAUGGGUCAGAGCUGUUUUGGGAGCACAAGGGGGACCUACACAAUAUUAGGGAGGUCCCACAGGUGCUGGAUGAUUGUAAUGAGAUGAUCAGUGUUAUUCACUCCACCUGUCAGUGGCUGUAGUGUUGUGGCUGAUCAGUGUGUGUGGAGAGUUUGUAAGGGUUUGGAAUCAUCCAUUGGGAGCAUCCAUUACGAGAGCAAAUUCUUCUGGGCUGACUGCUCAGACUCAGACCGGGCGUUCCGGGUUCACAGGAGCAGAGGCGUGUGUUCUCCAGCCGGCUCCAUGCGCCUGGUGAGCUGCUGCACGCGGGCCAGGAAGCGGUUGGGCAGCGAGGGGAAGUGGUGGCUCGGGUCCAGGACGUUGGUCUUGCGGCGCUCGCGUUCCUGCAGCCACAUGAGGGCUUUGGGGACCCUGACACUUUUUUUCGUACCAAGAGGAGUGAAGAGGACGGUGGAGGCGAUGAGGAAGCCGAGCAUCAGGCCCACCACGACGACG